AGAGUUGGUCAGGCAAUCGCUCUUUGUGAAUACAAAGGGAGGAAAGUCCGGGCUCCGCAGGGCAAGGUGCCAGGUAACGCCUGGGAGGUGUGAACCUACGGAAAGUGCCACAGAAAAUAUACCGCCCGUUUGAUUUUUCUUAGCUUGCUAAAUAAAAACAAACGGGUAAGGGUGAAAUGGUGCGGUAAGAGCGCACCGCGCGAUUGGCAACAGUCGUGGCAGGGAAAACCCCACCUGGAGCAAGACCAAAUAGGAAUCCAUUUGACUGCAAAGUCAUAACGUGCGGCCCGUACCGGAUUCGGGUAGGUUGCUUGAGGCAUACGGUGACGUGUGUCCCAGAUGAAUGAUUGUUCGCGACAGAACCCGGCUUAUCGACCAACUCUACUU
RNAcentral lists this RNase P RNA (387 nucleotides) under bacterium. Its description in RNAcentral is "RNase P RNA component class A". It matches the Rfam family "Bacterial RNase P class A". Rfam says of the family: Ribonuclease P (RNase P) is a ubiquitous endoribonuclease, found in archaea, bacteria and eukarya as well as chloroplasts and mitochondria. Its best characterised activity is the generation of mature 5'-ends of tRNAs by cleaving the 5'-leader elements of precursor-tRNAs. Cellular RNase Ps are ribonucleoproteins. The record is from RNAcentral.